CAACUUGAAUUGCCUGAUCGUCAUCGUUUUUUUGCACAAUUGCACGGAGACCGAAUUCAUUAUUAUUUUAUAUCAAAGUUAUAUGACUGCUUCCCAACCUUUUUAAAAAAAUGGUAGAACUACUUAGAGACAAUCAUCAAUGAUCGCAGGAAAGAGGGGGAGACAGGUAGCCUACUUUUUUAGUAAUGUUAUCAGUUCUACAGUCUGUGGAGUGUGGACUUCAUUAGCUAUGCAUAAGUGCUGUUGAAAGCAGAAUUUCUAGAGUGGUUAAGCUUAUGCUUGCAAUAAUAUGGCAUGUGAAUUUCAUCUUGAAUGAAAAACCAAAACUGGAGUUGUUUAGUCAUUAAAGGAGCCUAUUUUCAGGAAUAAAGGUAAGUCCAAAAUAUUAGAUGUUUAAUAAUUUUUUAUUUUUCAU
Long non-coding RNA from Daphnia pulicaria, 415 nucleotides. RefSeq lists it as uncharacterized. NCBI's taxonomy places the organism in Eukaryota, Metazoa, Arthropoda, Branchiopoda, Diplostraca, Daphniidae. The transcript has 2 exons. The record is from RefSeq and is a predicted model, not a curated record.